Molecule: ribosomal RNA, 429 nt
Filed under: Bacteroidota bacterium
Lineage: Bacteria; Pseudomonadati; Bacteroidota
Description: Bacteroidetes bacterium partial 16S ribosomal RNA
Rfam family: Bacterial small subunit ribosomal RNA
Source: RNAcentral
UAGGGAAUCUUCCGCAAUGGACGCAAGUCUGACGGAGCAACGCCGCGUGAGUGAAGAAGGAUUUCGGUUCGUAAAACUCUGUUGUUAGAGAAGAACAGCGCAUAGAGUAACUGUUAUGCGUGUGACGGUAUCUAACCAGAAAGCCACGGCUAACUACGUGCCAGCAGCCGCGGUAAUACGUAGGUGGCAAGCGUUGUCCGGAUUUAUUGGGCGUAAAGCGAGCGCAGGCGGUCAAUUAAGUCUGAUGUGAAAGCCCCCGGCUAAACCGGGGAGGGUCAUUGGAAACUGGUUGACUUGAGUGCAGAAGAGGAGAGUGGAAUUCAAUGUGUAGCGGUGAAAUGCGUAGAUAUAUGGAGGAACACCAGUGGCGAAGGCGACUCUCUGGUCUGUAACUGACGCUGAGGCUCGAAAGCGUGGGUAGCAAACAGG